UACCUGGUUGAUCCUGCCAGUAGUCAUAUGCUUGUCUCAAAGAUUAAGCCAUGCAAGUCUAAGUACGAGCUCUCGUACAGUGAAACUGCGAAUGGCUCAUUAAAUCAGUUAUGGUUCAUUUGAUCGUACAGUUUACUUGGAUAACUGUGGUAAUUCUAGAGCUAAUACAUGCGAGAAGCGCCGACCUCGCGGGAGGCGUGCAUUUAUCAGACCAAAAACCGGCCGCGUCUUCGGGCGCGUUCGCCUUGGUGACUCUGGAUAACUUUGCGGAUCGCACGGUCUAGCACCGGCGACGGAUCAUUCAAGUGUCUGCCCUAUCAACU
This is a non-coding RNA of Ciona savignyi (Pacific transparent sea squirt), 323 nucleotides long. Lineage: Eukaryota; Metazoa; Chordata; Ascidiacea; Phlebobranchia; Cionidae. The record is from Rfam.